GAUGAACGCUGGCGGCGUGCCUAAUACAUGCAAGUCGAGCGAACAGACGAGGAGCUUGCUCCUCUGACGUUAGCGGCGGACGGGUGAGUAACACGUGGAUAACCUACCUAUAAGACUGGGAUAACUUCGGGAAACCGGAGCUAAUACCGGAUAAUAUAUUGCACCGCAUGGUUCAAUAGUGAAAGACGGUUUUGCUGUCACUUAUCGAUGGAUCCGCGCCGCAUUAGCUAGUUGGUAAGGUAACGGCUUACCAAGGCAACGAUGCGUAGCCGACCUGAGAGGGUGAUCGGCCACCCGGGAACGGAGACACGGUCCAGACUCCUACGGGAGGCAGCAGUAGGGAAUCUUCCGCAAUGGUCGAAAGCCUGACGGAGCAACGCCGCGUGAGUGAUGAAGGUCUUCGGAUCGUAAAACUCUGUUAUGAGGGAAGAACAAAUGUGUAAGUAACUAUGCACGUCUUGACGGUACCUAAUCAGAAAGCCACGGCUAACUACGUG
This 497-nucleotide ribosomal RNA is filed under the name uncultured bacterium. RNAcentral's name for it is "partial 16S ribosomal RNA". It matches the Rfam family "Bacterial small subunit ribosomal RNA", at positions 28 to 507 of the family's 1533-position model. The record is from RNAcentral.